This is a long non-coding RNA of Gopherus flavomarginatus (Mexican gopher tortoise), 1059 nucleotides long. RefSeq lists it as uncharacterized. Lineage: Eukaryota; Metazoa; Chordata; Testudines; Testudinidae. The record is from RefSeq and is a predicted model, not a curated record. The transcript has 4 exons.
AGACGGAGUUGUAGGUGCGCAUGCGCCUCGGAGCUGUCGCCGCCGCCUCCCGCUGCUCCCCUAGGCGCGCGGCCCAAGCAUCUUCUGUUUCUCCUGAAGAUUUCAUACAGAGCACACCCCAGCUAAUCCUCAUCUUGGGCAGCUUGCGUUUUGGAUUAGGUCAAAACCCGCACCGGAGUCUUUCUAGACAGCCUGCUCUUCCCCUACAUUAACACAAGUGAGGAUCUUCAACUGUUGCUGGUAUGUUCUCAACUGCCCCUGUUCAAGUAGGAUUCUCAAGUGCAGACUCUUCACAGAAGAGUUAAAGGUCAGAAGGGAUAAUCAAAUCUGACCCUGUGUCUAUCAUAUGCCACUAAGUUUCACCAGAUAAUCUGAUAUGAACCCCAAAGACUUCUGGGACUGAAAUGCUUUGGUCUAACUGAAGACUGAACUGGCGUGCCAUGGACAGAGAACAAGAAAGACCAAGGCACUUGUGGACCAGAGACUUGGUUUUCAGCAUUAUACUAUAGAAGAUGUUGGCUAGCACUUUUGGGAAAAAUGCAAGACAAAGGACAAUGAGAUGAACAAUGACAUCUAAUGCGGUGGUGGUGGGCUGUGCUCUAGUCUAAGUGACCUGCAAGUAGCACAUGAUCUGAAGGUUACAGAUACCUUCACAGGUGUAUAUUGGUACAGAUAUAAAUGCCUGGUUCCAAUUCAAUACUUUCAGAAGGAACUCACAUGAAGAGUGAGAGUUUAUAUUACCUAUGAAGAGGUGCUGGUCGCUCAGUGUGGGGGAAGUUCACCAAACCAGCUAGCAAUCAACUGUGUCAAACACAUGCCUAUUGUCAAAUCAAGGAGAGCAAGUUUUUCCUUUGGAUUACCAAAUUGUGUCCAGUCCUGCAAAUCGUUCCAUAUAGGCUGAUGUCUGCACGGAACUCCUUGUUAGAAUCAAGGCAUAAAUGCAGAAGUUCAUACAUAGAGUGUAUAUACGUGAAUUAUCACGGGACAAAGAUAACAUUAGCUAACCAAAAAUAAAUGUAUUGAAUGUGGCUUAUCUGGAAUGUAAGUGAUCCUGCUAAU